This 492-nucleotide ribosomal RNA is filed under the name uncultured bacterium. RNAcentral's name for it is "partial 16S ribosomal RNA". It matches the Rfam family "Bacterial small subunit ribosomal RNA", at positions 29 to 507 of the family's 1533-position model. The record is from RNAcentral.
AGUGAACGCUGGCGGUAGGCCUAACACAUGCAAGUCGAACGGCAGCACAGUAAGAGCUUGCUCUUACGGGUGGCGAGUGGCGGACGGGUGAGGAAUACAUCGGAAUCUACUUUUUCGUGGGGGAUAACGUAGGGAAACUUACGCUAAUACCGCAUACGACCUACGGGUGAAAGCAGGGGAUCUUCGGACCUUGCGCGAUUGAAUGAGCCGAUGUCGGAUUAGCUAGUUGGCGGGGUAAAGGCCCACCAAGGCGACUAUCCGUAGCUGGUCUGAGAGGAUGAUCAGCCACACUGGAACUGAGACACGGUCCAGACUCCUACGGGAGGCAGCAGUGGGGAAUAUUGGACAAUGGGCGCAAGCCUGAUCCAGCCAUACCGCGUGGGUGAAGAAGGCCUUCGGGUUGUAAAGCCCUUUUGUUGGGAAAGAAAAGCAGCAGGUUAAUACCCCGCUGUUCUGACGGUACCCAAAGAAUAAGCACCGGCUAACUUCGUG